RNAcentral lists this ribosomal RNA (505 nucleotides) under uncultured bacterium. RNAcentral's name for it is "partial 16S ribosomal RNA". It matches the Rfam family "Bacterial small subunit ribosomal RNA", at positions 28 to 507 of the family's 1533-position model. The record is from RNAcentral.
GACGAACGCUGGCGGCGUGCCUAAUACAUGCCAGUAGAACGCACAGUUUAUACCGUAGCUUGCUACACCAUAGACUGUGAGUUGCGAACGGGUGAGUAACGCGUAGGUAACCUGCCUGGUAGCGGGGGAUAACUAUUGGAAACGAUAGCUAAUACCGCAUAAUAUUAAUUAUUGCAUGAUAAUUGAUUGAAAGAUGCAACUGCAUCACUACCAGAUGGACCUGCGUUGUAUUAGCUAGUAGGUGGGGUAACGGCUCACCUAGGCGACGAUACAUAGACGAACGGAGAGGGGGAUCGGCCAGACUGGGACGGAGACAAGGCACAGACUCCUACGGGAGGCAGCAGUAGGGAAACUUCGGCAAUGGACGAAAGUCUGACCGAGCAACGCCGCGUGAGUGAAGAAGGUUUUCGGAUCGUAAAGCUCUGUUGUAAGAGAAGAACGGGUGUGAGAGUGGAAAGUUCACACUGUGACGGUAUCUUACCAGAAAGGGACGGCUAACUACGUG